AGAUCCUUAAAGCGCAUAUCGUAAGAAAAUCAACAGCCUCGUUAUCGCAAGAAAGAAUUUUCACAUCUGAUGACGCUUCUUCACAUAAAAUCUGUAUAUCCGGGAAUGGGCCAAGAUAUGUUGUAAUAUCUUCAAGCAAUGUCUGCAAUUGUGGUUCAUCAUUCAUCCAAAACUUAUCAGAAUGAUCUAUUACAACAACGAAAUAAGUAGUUAAAUGUGAAUUUUAUGAAUAAACUGAAAAUAAAA
This is a long non-coding RNA of Bombus pascuorum, 246 nucleotides long. RefSeq lists it as uncharacterized. The record is from RefSeq and is a predicted model, not a curated record. The transcript has 2 exons. Lineage: Eukaryota; Metazoa; Arthropoda; Insecta; Hymenoptera; Apidae.